GGUGAGUAACAUUUAGGAAUCUGCCUAGUAGUGGGGGAUAGCUCGGGGAAACUCGAAUUAAUACCGCAUACGACCUACGGGUGAAAGGGGGCGCAAGCUCUUGCUAUUAGAUGAGCCUAAAUCAGAUUAGCUAGUUGGUGGGGUAAAGGCCCACCAAGGCGACGAUCUGUAACUGGUCUGAGAGGAUGAUCAGUCACACCGGAACUGAGACACGGUCCGGACUCCUACGGGAGGCAGCAGUGGGGAAUAUUGGACAAUGGGGGCAACCCUGAUCCAGCCAUGCCGCGUGUGUGAAGAAGGCCUUUUGGUUGUAAAGCACUUUAAGCAGGGAGGAGAGGCUAAUGGUUAAUACCCAUUAGAUUAGACGUUACCUGCAGAAUAAGCACCGGCUAACUCUGUGCCAGCAGCCGCGGUAAUACAGAGGGUGCGAGCGUUAAUCGGAAUUACUGGGCGUAAAGCGAGUGUAGGUGGCUCAUUAAGUCACAUGUGAAAUCCCCGGGCUUAACCUGGGAACUGCAUGUGAUACUGGUGGUGCUAGAAUAUGUGAGAGGGAAGUAGAAUUCCAGGUGUAGCGGUGAAAUGCGUAGAGAUCUGGAGGAAUACCGAUGGCGAAGGCAGCUUCCUGGCAUAAUAUUGACACUGAGAUUCGAAAGCGUGGGUAGCAAACAGGAUUAGAUACCCUGGUAGUCCACGCCGUAAACGAUGUCUACUAGCCGUUGGGGGUCCUUGAGACUUUAGUGGCGCAGUUAACGCGAUAAGUAGACCGCCUGGGGAGUACGGCCGCAAGGUUAAAACUCAAAUGAAUUGACGGGGGCCCGCACAAGCGGUGGAGCAUGUGGUUUAAUUCGAUGCAACGCGAAGAACCUUACCUGGUCUUGACAUAGUGAGAAUCUUUCAGAGAUGAGAGAGUGCCUUCGGGAAUUCACAUACAGGUGCUGCAUGGCUGUCGUCAGCUCGUGUCGUGAGAUGUUGGGUUAAGUCCCGCAACGAGCGCAACCCUUUUCCUUAUUUGCCAGCGGGUUAAGCCGGGAACUUUAAGGAUACUGCCAGUGACAAACUGGAGGAAGGCGGGGACGACGUCAAGUCAUCAUGGCCCUUACGACCAGGGCUACACACGUGCUACAAUGGUAGGUACAGAGGGUUGC
RNAcentral lists this ribosomal RNA (1145 nucleotides) under Faucicola osloensis. RNAcentral's name for it is "bacterial SSU rRNA". It matches the Rfam family "Bacterial small subunit ribosomal RNA", at positions 105 to 1250 of the family's 1533-position model. Lineage: Bacteria; Pseudomonadati; Pseudomonadota; Gammaproteobacteria; Moraxellales; Moraxellaceae. The record is from RNAcentral.